RNAcentral lists this ribosomal RNA (493 nucleotides) under uncultured bacterium. Its description in RNAcentral is "partial 16S ribosomal RNA". It matches the Rfam family "Bacterial small subunit ribosomal RNA", at positions 29 to 508 of the family's 1533-position model. The record is from RNAcentral.
AGUGAACGCUGGCGGUAGGCCUAACACAUGCAAGUCGAACGGCAGCACAGUAAUAGCUUGCUCUUACGGGUGGCGAGUGGCGGACGGGUGAGGAAUACAUCGUAAUCUACUUUUUCGUGGGGGAUAACGUAGGGAAACUUACGCUAAUACCGCAUACGACCUACGGGUGAAAGCAUGGGAUCUUCGGACCUUGCGCGAUUGAAUGAGCCGAUGUCGGAUUAGCUAGUUGGCGGGGUAAAGGCCCACCAAGUCGACGAUCCGUAGCUGGUCUGAGAGGAUGGGCAGCCACACUGGAACGGAGACACGGUCCAGACUCCUACGGGAGGCAGCAGUGGGGAAUAUUGGACAAUGGGCGCAAGCCUGAUCCAGACAUACCGAGUGGGUGAAGAAGGCCUUCGGGUUGUAAAGCCCUUUUGUUGGGAAAGAAAAGCAGCAGGUUAAUACCCCGCUGUUCUGACGGUACACAAAGAAUAAGUACCGGCUAACUUCGUGC